This 253-nucleotide ribosomal RNA is filed under the name uncultured bacterium. RNAcentral's name for it is "partial 16S ribosomal RNA". It matches the Rfam family "Bacterial small subunit ribosomal RNA", at positions 524 to 776 of the family's 1533-position model. The record is from RNAcentral.
UACGUAGGAGGCAAGCGUUGUCCGGAGUUACUGGGCGUAAAGGGCGCGUAGGCGGCGUGGUAAGUCACUUGUGAAAUCUCUGAGCUUAACUCAGAACGGCCAAGUGAUACUGCUGUGCUAGAGUGCAGAAGGGGCAAUCGGAAUUCUUGGUGUAGCGGUGAAAUGCGUAGAUAUCAAGAGGAACACCUGAGGUGAAGACGGGUUGCUGGGCUGACACUGACGCUGAUGCGCGAAAGCCAGGGGAGCAAGCGGG